GCGAAAGUGGCGGAAUUGGUAGACGCCCUGGAUUUAGGUUCCAGUGCCGCAAGGCGUGGGGGUUCGAGUCCC
RNAcentral lists this transfer RNA (72 nucleotides) under Stenotrophomonas sp. RNAcentral describes it as "tRNA-Leu". It matches the Rfam family "tRNA", at positions 1 to 61 of the family's 71-position model. From Rfam's summary of the family: Transfer RNA (tRNA) molecules are approximately 80 nucleotides in length. Their secondary structure includes four short double-helical elements and three loops (D, anti-codon, and T loops). The record is from RNAcentral. Lineage: Bacteria; Pseudomonadati; Pseudomonadota; Gammaproteobacteria; Lysobacterales; Lysobacteraceae.